UACGUUUUAGUAUACGAGGUACAGAAAUUUUUGAUUUUUCAGGAGCUAGUUUAAAUCUAGUAGAUGUAA
RNAcentral lists this transfer RNA (69 nucleotides) under Lucanus cervus. Its description in RNAcentral is "tRNA-Gln". The record is from RNAcentral. RNAcentral also lists the same sequence under 1 other name. Lineage: Eukaryota; Metazoa; Arthropoda; Insecta; Coleoptera; Lucanidae.